Molecule: ribosomal RNA, 503 nt
Filed under: uncultured bacterium
Lineage: Bacteria
Description: partial 16S ribosomal RNA
Rfam family: Bacterial small subunit ribosomal RNA
Source: RNAcentral
AUUGAACGCUGGCGGCAGGCUUAACACAUGCAAGUCGAGCGGGGUGAUGGUGCUUGCACUAUCACUUAGCGGCGGACGGGUGAGUAAUGCUUAGGAAUCUGCCUAUUAGUGGGGGACAACAUCUCGAAAGGGAUGCUAAUACCGCAUACGUCCUACGGGAGAAAGCAGGGGAUCACUUGUGACCUUGCGCUAAUAGAUGAGCCUAAGUCGGAUUAGCUAGUUGGUGGGGUAAAGGCCUACCAAGGCGACGAUCUGUAGCGGGUCUGAGAGGAUGUACGGCCACACUGGGACUGAGACACGGCCCAGACUCCUACGGGAGGCAGCAGUGGGGAAUAUUGGGCAGUGGGGGGAACCCUGAGCCAGCCAUGCCGCGUGUGUGAAGAAGGCCUUAUGGUUGUAAAGCACUUUAAGCGAGGAGGAGGCUCUUUUGGUUAAUACCCAAGAUGAGUGGACGUUACUCGCAGAAUAAGCACCGGCUAACUCUGUGCCAGCCGCCGCAGUAA